CUUGUCGGCGGCGUUGCGGGAGGCCUCGGUGCGCCGCUGCACCAGGCCGGAGCUGCGCUGGGUCAGCGAGGUCAUGGCUCCCGCCGAGGCGCCGAGCCGGGCCGAGAGGGUCGCAGGACCGACCGGGUCGCCCUCCUCCUCCCCGCGCGGCCUCCGAUCCGGGUUUCCGUGUUAAAUCCGGACGCCGGGGCGACGUCCGUCGGCAGCAGGGCCGGGGGCAGUCAUGAGGAAACAGGUCAGGGCGAAGCGGGCUGGCCGGGCGUCGGCGGGGCAGGAGAGGAGCGCCUUCCUGCCUGUGGCCGCAGUCCCCGAAACACCCCGAGCUCCAAGGCGGAGGCGGCGGCGGCGCCUUUCCAAUAUGGCGGCCCCGGCUGACGUCACCGGAGGAUGUGGCAGAGUCGGCGCGGGAGAGCUGGGCCGGGAGGCGCCGGAAGCGGCGGCCGGGGAUCCGCUGCCACUGCAGCCUACACCCUUCCCGGCCCUCGGUGCUUGUCUUUUCUUUGGCGUUCCUGCGCCCCCUGACCCGCGGUCCUGCAGUCCUGCUCCCGUGACGUGCCCUCCCUCCUUCCGUUCCCCGUUUCCCCUUCACUACCCAGGGCUGGAGCCUGAACCUGGCGGGGCCCCCCGUGAAUGGAAGAGCCUGGGCCACGCGAAGGUGGACCCCACUCAGCCUCCAGCCGUGCCCUCCACGCCCCAGACACCGCCGUCUUCGGAGGCGACUCCGCGGUCGUGUGGACGGGGUCCCAUUUGGACUCCGGGGUCUGCAGGAUCGGCAGGAAGGACUUUGCUCUCUGCUGCUGGGCGGGGAGGGGUACGCUAUCUGCCGGGACUCCCUAACCCUUUAGAAGGAGCAAGUGCGUCCAAAUGGUUUGAAAGUGGACCUUUAUUGUUUUCCAGGAGUAAGAAGAUAGAACAGUUGACCAGUUUUGUUUGUAAAACUUCUUUCCUUGCCUCGGACUUGUGCUAUAAAGUGACCAGGGCGUAGUGAGUACAGUUAGUACCGCACACGUUAGCACGCUCGACCUUAACGAUCUUUUUAUAGAGACAAUAAACCUGCAGCGUUUCAUGCCACGUCUUUGUACGCAUCGGAUGUCUCUCCGUGUAGUUACUAGGUGAAAUCCUCUUGGCGUGCGCAAAUUAGGUUAAAAAAAUAGCUGUCAAACCUGAGACAGGAGUUGGAGGAGUAGAGGGUGGCGCUUGUUAAGUGAAACAUUUAACCAGGAAUGGUAUUGUGUGCCAUCCUGUAUUAAACAAUGUAUGGACAGAGUGGAACAACAGCAAAGCAAAAAAUAAAAAUUUUUUAAAAAAAGUGAU
This 1314-nucleotide long non-coding RNA is filed under the name Homo sapiens (human). RNAcentral's name for it is "GOLPH3 divergent transcript (GOLPH3-DT)". Lineage: Eukaryota; Metazoa; Chordata; Mammalia; Primates; Hominidae. The record is from RNAcentral.